CUCAACCCUGUAUCCAAAUCCCAAGCUGAAGCGCGACUGCGUGAGUACCAAGACGCCGGUGGGAGCGACGGCUACAUGGGCUCCUCCAAGGACAAGACUGAUGGAGGCGGCGGCGGGGACAGGGGAACAGGAGGAGGUGGACGAGCUGCUGGCCGCGCUCGGGUACAAGGUGCGUUCGUCGGAUAUGGCGGACGUCGCUCAAAAGCUGGAGCAGCUCGAGAUGGCCAUGGGGAGCGGCGCACAGAGGGGAAGAGAACCAGCGAGAGAGAGAGAGACGGAAAGAGGAAGAUGAGUCAGGAGCCUGAGGAUCCUGGUGAAGUUCCUCCGUGAGACAGCGGGUCACGUGGUGACGGUGGAGUUGAAGACCGGCGAGGUGUACCGACGGUCCACUCAAGUGCGAGGAUAACUAGAAUUGCCAGCUCAAGAACAUUACCUUCACCGCUAAGAUGGGGACAUUUCGCACCUGGAGCAUGUAUUCAUCAGAGGAAGCAGAGACAAAGGAUCAACUAUUGGAGUUGGCUGUGGUCGUGCUGUUGCAAUGCGUGCUCAGAGUUCAAAAGUUGUUCAAGAUGGCAGUAAUCCUUACACCUUGGAAGGGACAGAUGGCUAGAAAUUUUAGCAAAACUUCAGCGUACGUAUAGAAGCAGAUGCUAACAGCAAGACAUGGGGAGGGAAGGAGAACGGAUGCAGCUACUGAAUGCAUAGCUUGCAGUAGUAGUUGCUACUGCAUCUGAUCCAGUUCCUAAUGACAUUUAUUUGGUCCCCUCAUUUAUGUGUGAUGACAGUUCAUAUUUUUUUAUUGUCAAGUACCUCCUCCAUUCUAUUUUAUUUUGUCGUGUUUUAGUUAAAAAAUAAACUAGCCGGCGACGAAUAUUCGAGAACGGGGGUAGUAAGAUAUAUGACUCGAAAGUUUCUGCCUCCCAGGACACAACCUCUGUCCCUCAUCCUCGAUCUAAAAAUCGGGUACAGUUCAUCUAUUUUUCAUCUGCGACUAAAUUGUAACAGUUCAUCUGUUUUUUUCCCAUUUAUGUGUGAUGAUAGUUCAUCU
Zea mays is the source of this 1048-nucleotide RNA transcript. RefSeq lists it as uncharacterized. Lineage: Eukaryota; Viridiplantae; Streptophyta; Magnoliopsida; Poales; Poaceae. The record is from RefSeq and is marked validated. The transcript has 6 exons.